GACGGAGGGAGCAAGCGUUGUUCGGAUUUACUGGGCGUAAAGGGCGUCUAGGCGGGCUGAUAAGUCAGAUGUGAAAUACCUCGGCUCAACCGGGGAACUGCAUUUGAUACUGUCGGUCUUGAGUACGGAAGAGGAAAGCGGAAUUCCUGGUGUAGCGGUGAAAUGCGUAGAUAUCAGGAAGAACACCGGUGGCGAAGGCGGCUUUCUGGUCCGUUACUGACGCUGAAGCGCGAAAGUGUGGGGAGCAAACAGGAUUAGAUACCCUGGUAGUCCACACUGUAAACGAUGGAUGCUAGGUGUCGGGGGUAUCGACCCCUCCGGUGCCGAAGCUAACGCAUUAAGCAUCCCGCCUGGGGAGUACGGUCGCAAGGCUGAA
RNAcentral lists this ribosomal RNA (376 nucleotides) under uncultured bacterium. RNAcentral describes it as "bacterial SSU rRNA". It matches the Rfam family "Bacterial small subunit ribosomal RNA", at positions 524 to 898 of the family's 1533-position model. The record is from RNAcentral.